Molecule: ribosomal RNA, 479 nt
Filed under: uncultured bacterium
Lineage: Bacteria
Description: bacterial SSU rRNA
Rfam family: Bacterial small subunit ribosomal RNA
Source: RNAcentral
ACCGUACUCCUACGGGAGGCAGCAGUGGGGAGUUUUGGACAAUGGGGGCAACCCUGAUCCAGCAAUGCCGCGUGAGUGAAGAAGGCCUUCGGGUUGUAAAGCUCUUUUGUCAGGGAAGAAACGGUAGUAGCUAAUAUCUAUUACUAAUGACGGUACCUGAAGAAUAAGCACCGGCUAACUACGUGCCAGCAGCCGCGGUAAUACGUAGGGUGCAAGCGUUAAUCGGAAUUACUGGGCGUAAAGCGUGCGCAGGCGGUUGCGUAAGUCAGAUGUGAAAUCCCCGGGCUCAACCUGGGAAUUGCAUUUGAGACUGCACGGCUAGGGUGUGUCAGAGGGGGGUAGAAUUCCACGUGUAGCAGUGAAAUGCGUAGAUAUGUGGAGGAAUACCGAUGGCGAAGGCAGCCCCCUGGGAUAACACUGACGCUCAUGCACGAAAGCGUGGGGAGCAAACAGGAUUAGAUACCCCUGUAGUCCUUGAC